AACGCUAGCUACAGGCUUAACACAUGCAAGUCGAGGGGCAGCGCAGUGUAGCAAUACAUGGGCGGCGACCGGCGCACGGGUGCGUAACGCGUAUCCAACCUUCCCGUUACUCAGGGAUAGCCUUCCGAAAGGGAGAUUAAUACCUGAUGGUGUUGAAAUUCCGCAUGUUAUUUCAACUAAAGAUUUAUCGGUAACGGAUGGGGAUGCGUGACAUUAGGUAGAUGGCGGGGUAACGGCCCACCAUGCCUACGAUGUCUAGGGGUUCUGAGAGGAAGGUCCCCCACACUGGAACUGAGACACGGUCCAGACUCCUACGGGAGGCAGCAGUGAGGAAUAUUGGUCAAUGGCCGGAAGGCUGAACCAGCCAAGUAGCGUGAAGGAUGAAGGUUCUAUGGAUUGUAAACUUCUUUUAUACGGGAAUAAAACGUCCCACGUGUGGGAUCUUGUAUGUACCGUAUGAAUAAGCAUCGGCUAACUCCGUGCCAGCAGCCGCGGUAAUACGGAGGAUGCGAGCGUUAUCCGGAUUUAUUGGGUUUAAAGGGAGCGUAGACGGGGGAUUAAGUCAGUUGUGAAAGGCUGCGGCUCAACCGCAGCACUGCAGUUGAUACUGGUUCCCUUGAGUGCGGUUGAGGUAUGUGGAAUUCGUGGUGUAGCGGUGAAAUGCUUAGAUAUCACGAAGAACUCCGAUUG
Molecule: ribosomal RNA, 690 nt
Filed under: uncultured bacterium
Lineage: Bacteria
Description: bacterial SSU rRNA
Rfam family: Bacterial small subunit ribosomal RNA
Source: RNAcentral